CUAAUCAGAACUAAAUUACACAUUAUUAAUUAUAGACAACAUACUUUUAUUGAUAAUCGCAUGUAAACACGUAAAACAGCAACUUUAGUUUUAUUUCAUAGCAUUACCAAACAUGAAAAUAAAAAGAUGAACUAGACAUGUAAUAUAGUUUAGUGGUUAAGAUGGAUAUGUAUAUGCACCUUCAACUUCAAGGUCAAAGGUCUUUCAAUCCCCACCUCUCGACUUUAUUGUAAACAUAGGUGCAUAAGAUAGAAAAUAAAGUGUUACAACUUCUUAUUUGUUUUUUCAUAUGUUGAAGUUGUAGAGUAAAUUAGUCACGAUCGAGGGCAUACAUUAUAUGGAUAACCAAGCUUUCGGCCGCAACCGUUAACAAUUAGAUUGAGAUCAAUGGGAAUGCGUAAAAGGAUGAGGCCUCCAAUUUUCAAUUUAAGGGCAGUGCAAAGACAAACCCUAGCUUCAAGAUCCACUAGCCCUUCAAUCAAGCUACAACAUUGAGGGUAGCUUUGGUUUGGUUGGCUGUUAAGAACUAGGUUAACAAGGUUUAACACAUUUGCACAUGCCUCUAUGUUCAGGGUAUUUCUAGGGCAAGUGACCCCAUUGUUGGUAGGUGGGGGUGGGGUUAGGCUUGGUGGGGGUGGGGUUAGGCUUGGUGGGGGUGGGGUUAUGGUUGAUGGGGGUGGGGUAAGGCUUGGUGGGUGUACAGGCUGGUAAGAAGUGACAAGAGAAAAGAAGAGAAGGUUUAGAAGAAAGAAGAUAGCUAGUGGAGAGGUUUUGUUGAAGGAAUACAUUAUUUUUUAAUGAAGUAAAGAGUUUCUUCAAACAAGGAUGGAGAAAAAAGUGUAGCGAUGGAAGGGUUUUUAUAUUGUUAAUUGUGCC
This 876-nucleotide long non-coding RNA is filed under the name Cucumis sativus (cucumber). RNAcentral's name for it is "long non-coding RNA (CSAT_LNC000848)". Lineage: Eukaryota; Viridiplantae; Streptophyta; Magnoliopsida; Cucurbitales; Cucurbitaceae. The record is from RNAcentral.